GCGGCUUGUCCGCGGACGGGGAUAAUAGGGAAGCGUAUGCACGGUCCUGCCGCCGUAAUGACAAGGCUUAUGCCGCUUCGCACAUAUGUCACUGGCAGUAUUGCUGUCGGGAAGGCGUGUGAAGUCCGUUUUGUUUCGGGAAGUCAAAGUCGGAAGACCUGCCUGCAAUUAUAA
RNAcentral lists this non-coding RNA (174 nucleotides) under pig gut metagenome. The record is from RNAcentral.